RNAcentral lists this ribosomal RNA (245 nucleotides) under uncultured bacterium. RNAcentral describes it as "partial 16S ribosomal RNA". It matches the Rfam family "Bacterial small subunit ribosomal RNA", at positions 524 to 766 of the family's 1533-position model. The record is from RNAcentral.
UACAGAGGUCCCAAGCGUUGUUCGGAAUCACUGGGCGUAAAGGGUGCGUAGGCGGGUCUUUUAAGUCAGGGGUGAAAUCCUGGAGCUCAACUCCAGAACUGCCUUUGAUACUGAGGAUCUUGAGUUCGGGAGAGGUGAGUGGAACUGCGAGUGUAGAGGUGAAAUUCGUAGAUAUUCGCAAGAACACCAGUGGCGAAGGCGGCUCACUGGCCCGAUACUGACGCUGAGGCACGGAAAGCGAUGGG